RNAcentral lists this unclassified non-coding RNA (6943 nucleotides) under Haliotis rubra (blacklip abalone). RNAcentral's name for it is "uncharacterized LOC124253886, transcript variant X1". The record is from RNAcentral. Lineage: Eukaryota; Metazoa; Mollusca; Gastropoda; Lepetellida; Haliotidae.
UACUCCGAUGGCUGAACAAUUGUUGUUUACUGUCAAGAUUACAUACGCAAUAAGCUGGCCUAGUUAAAUGUGGCUCUUCAAUUUAGCAAUAUGUACUUUCCUGUUAUACAUAGUUGUUUGUUUUUAGGAAAGUAUUAUGAUUAGAAACAUGCACACUUCUCAGUUACAGGCUUCAUGACGGUCCACGGGUUAUCCUGGGACGAUGAAGUGGACGUGGUUCCAGAUGGCAGAGUUUUCUGGCAUUAUUAUCCUACUGCUGUUAAGUUUCGGAAAAAUCGUUGAAGGACGCUGCCCAAAAUACAUGUAUGAAGUCCCCAAUCGACCUGAGCUGUGUGACCUGUGUCGGAUCUGUCCUGACAAUGUGGAGGGGACACCUUACAUUCAGCCAGGUUGUCACGAGCAGCUGCCCAAUGGACGGAAAGUGCAGUGCAGCAAUAUCAACUUCAGCAAGCCAGCAUGUGCAGAGCGGAAGCCAGAGAUCGGCAGUCUCAGGUGCAGUGAUGGCAAUACUGUCUACAGCACCUGCUCAUUACGAUGUCCUCGGGGAUACAAGCCAACUGUGUCACAUAAUGUUACCUGCCUGGCAGAACCACACAUACAGUGGAGUCACCUGUCGCCCAUCUGUCAGAGUAAAAGACAAUCAAAACAGAAGAAAAAGCACAGACACAGAGUUUUGAGCGCAGUGGCCAUGUUCUUUAUAGUGGUGUUGUUCCUGCUUGGGCCGUGGUGUAUUCUCAUCUGUCUCAUCAGCUAUAACAAGAAACAAGAACAGCACAGUCUACAAACGGAACAAGCUGCAAAGAAUCCCAGAAGUCGAGUUGUGAUGAAGCUGAUUAACGCAGAGCACAGCCAAAGAUGCUACGUCCUCCGAAACAAGUGGGUCGCCAAAGAUGGUGCUAAUGUCACAAUCUCAGCCACACCCAAGGAGGAAGCUCUGACAGUAACAGCCUUGACAGUGGAGAAGAUAGGACCAAACAGUGCCAUCUACAUGGCUCCCAGGUCGGCACCAAGUCAGAUCAUCCUGCACAAUGUGUCAGCACAACACCCCGGGCGGUACAACUGGAUUGUCAACCUCAGUGAUGGUACCUCGGAGUGUGGGGUGUUCUUCCUAGAGGUGAAAGUGUCUGCAUUGUCAGGCCUGUCUAGACAAGGAACUGGGUUUGGGAGGCUCAUGAAGAACCGCAGUGACGUCCAGCGAUUGUGUGUCCUGUUAGAUCAGGAGGAGGUCCCGAGUGUCGUUUCUUGGCGUGACAUAGCCACGUCCCCCCUCCUCAACUACGACUUGCAGCAGAUCAAUCAUGAGGAGUACCAUCUGAAAGGUAAACCCUGGACAAAGGGCCCUACGAUGAACGUGCUGACACUUCUACACCAGAAGGGCACCACCAUUGCAAGUCUGACAGAGUUCUUGAACAAUCAUAUGAGUCCAACCAGUGAGCCUCUCCAAAUACUGAACAAGUACUUAUGACUAAUACUGUACGUUGUUUCUAGACAAGUUUUAAAUUAUUGUGACACAUUAAGGAUGGAGUGUCAUCAAAAUUUUAUGUCAGUCAUUUAAACAGUGGGAGUAGUCUUAUUAAACUUGUGAGCCAGGUCAAAACAAAGACUAUAUAAUAAAUUAUUUUACUAAAUUUUAAAUGUUGAUUUUAUGGUCUCUGGUCCCAACAAAAUUAUUACUUUUUUAAAGAAAAAUGUUUGUGUUUCAAAUGUAAGAAGCUGCCAUUUAGUAGUUCUUGUCAUUAAAUGCAACAUUACCCAGAGUGUUCGCUCAAUAGUGAAAAUAUUGAAGCAACUUAUUAUUUUGUUGCCUCUUGAACUGCCAUAAGUGUAUACUGUGAGCUGAAUCUAGAGUAAAUAAGACCUGAUUCAUCAUUACGUGGUGUACAUAUAUUCAAUAUAACCAUAGUUGGUGUCAUUAUAGCUCAUUUCUUAUGUGAUCUCAUUUAGCAUUGUUUCUGGUGUCCCCCGCCGUGAUAUUGCUGGAAUAUUGCUAAAAGCGGCGUAAAACCAUACUCACUCAUUUAGCAUUGUCAAAAGGAUGUGCCUUUUGGAUAUUCUUGAGAUGACAAGAGUUAUUUCCCUUGUCUUAUAAACGGACCGUGAUGUCACUCUAUUGUUCUUGCAAGGCAGUAUUUCUAGUCAUAUCCCGAUGGCCCGUCGAUUAGGGGGCAUUACUUAAAUAUUGUCCCUCUGCCACAGGAUAUUACUUCAAUAUUGUCCCUCUGCCCCGGGAUAUUACUUCAAUAUUACUUGUUGUGAAGAUUGAUAUAACUUUGUCUUGCUACCGCUGAAUGCGAUCGUAAGACAUCACAUUAUUGAAAACUUCCAACAUUAGUACCGAUAUCUGGUUUCGAACCUGCAACCCUUCGCUUAUUAGCUUGGCGGUUUUAUUCACUAGGGUACGAAGGAUCACUGUGAAGAAUAAGAUUGUUUGUCAGCAUGAACCGUGUGUUCCUCACAAGACGAGUAGUGCGGGCAGCGCGCGUGCAGGACACAGGUAGCAUGUGCAGAGCAUGUGCAUUACGCAUGCAAGGCAAGGUGUCGGCUGCCAGUCUCAUCCCAGUUGAUUUCAACAGUAAAUACCAAAUAUUGAAAUUAUAUCUUUUGGUCGGUUUAUAAGUUGGAUAUAACAUGACCCGUGGGCAUUAUUGAAAAGUAAGCCCUCUUCCCUCGGGAAGUGGGCUUACUUUUCAAUAAUGCCCACGGGUCAUGUUAUAUCCUACACAUAAUGUCCUUUGUCCAUACUUUUAUUUGCAAGCAGAUAUGGCAGGCAGACGAAAUAGUUUAAAAAUUCAGUUUGGGUUGAAGGAUCUUUAAUCCUGACAAUAAAAUAGCAACAGUUUAAUUGUGAAAGUUGGAGCACAGUCAGGACAGUCCUGGAAUAUGAGAUGUAUAAUUGACAGGGAGUAAUAUUAUUGUGUAGCGGUGACAGCCUUGUGACACAGUAUUGAAAAGAGUGAUUUUUUAAACUAUUGAUGAAGCUUUCUCACAGACAGUUCAAAACCUAAAACUUGUUUCAUGCAUUAUGAUACCCUUCAUUUCUUUCAAGUGUAAAAGGGUUCUUGCCCCACCCUGUUGUUUCAUUUUGUAUGAGUGCAUUGGAUUAAAUAACUGAUGAUAAUGAUGAUGCUGAUGAUGAUGAUGAUGCUGAUGAUAAUGAUGAUGCUGAUGAUAAUGAUGACUGUGGUGAUAUACAUAUAUUUUGAUUCGGGGAUCUGCAACACAAAUACUUUGUCUAACCUAAUUACAAAUCGCAGUCAGUUAAUUUUAAGUAUGUCACAUAUAUUUAUGUACCUGGUAUAAGGUAUAUAUUGAUAACUUUCUACAUGGAAGUUAUCAAUAUAUACCUUAUACCGGGUACAUAAAUAAAUGUUUAGACAACUGUUCCCAACUAUGUGGUAAAACUCAUGUUAAUAUUUAUGUUCACUGAAAUAUUGUUAUGUAUAUAGUUUAUUGAUGCUUGCCACUGAUCUACAUAGUAGGAAUGUUUACUCACUGUAAGCCUCUUUGGAGCUUGUGACAGGUAAAUGUUGUACAAGCAAUCAGUGUUGAGUGAGUGAGGAAUUCAGACAAGUAUUUUGGAUUUGUGUGUGUCAAACAUGAUUGUGAUAAACGAUAUCUUAAUGGGAACAAUGCCAUGGAGUGUCCAUGCAAGAUUAUUUGGCAGGUAUAUAUGUGUUCUUUGGCAGUUUCUCUUUGCCAGAUUGAAAAUGUGUGAAUCAAGGGCUUAAGAAAGAGGCUUCUUGUUGGUUAACAACCCUCAGAUCUUUGCACGGAAAUAUUGAAUGAGAGUAAAUGAUUGGAUUUUGUGAAACUGAAGAAAGUGAAAAAAAUGAAAUCUAACACAAUUCGUUUAAACUGCUCAUAGCUAUAGCUUCUUAUUGGACAUCCCUUUAUCAUUAGUGUAAUAUGUAUCACUCUGUAUUGUGUUAUUUAAACCAUUUUUGGACUUUUCUCCAACAUCAAGCUGACACGCUGUGAUAUAACGUGAAUACUGAAGAAUGGGGUGAAUAAAAUCCCUUUUCACUCAUUCUCAAGUAUAUUAUUCACCCUGUUUGACAAGUUAUUGCUUUCUAAGAAACACAAGUUAGGGACUGUUCAUAAUUUAUGGCUAGGGUGUGUGUGUGUGUGUGUGUUUGUGAUGAUGCGUUUUACGGAGAAGCAUGUACAAUGGGAAUGAUUCCCCACCCCCACCCCCCCAAAAUUCAUGUACAAGGUAAGUGACCUCCCUGCAUAUCAUGUACAUGUGUACAAAAUUGAUGACCCCCCAACCCCCUUAAAAUCCUCAUCAUCCACCCUUAGCCAUUAAUUAUGAACGGUCCCUUACAUGUCAAGUUUCACUUUUAUCAUGGCAAGCAAGAAAGAUUGAAAUAUUCUUAUGUAUGUAUGUUAUUGACCAAAGUCUUUCAUGUUUGGCAAGAUAAAGAGGCUGGUUUACCAAAUACAUCAGAUUAUGCAUUAAGACUUACCAUCACUGAGGGGUGGGGAGUGACAUUUGUUAAUAUGAAACUAAUGUUAUAUUUUCUGUUGCCUUGGUGACAUUUGGUUGUAUGGAACACAUUCUCCUACCCCGGGUGAUUCAAUGGUUGAUACACAAUGGUGUUACCCACCUUGCAGGAAUCUUUGGUAUGUCACACCAAACAGAGUCGGUUUUAAACAUUAGUACUGUUACAGUCUUAGCCUUGACAUUUGUUAAUGCAUUCUUUUUUAAUGUUUUCAACGCAUGCAGAUAAUUUUUCUUGCAAUUUUGAUUGUUUGUAAGAUUUUACAAUAAGUUUAAAUAUUUGUUGUUGUGACAAUAUAAUUCAUUCUCCGUUAUAUUAGGCCAAAUAAAAAAAAAUUGUGGUUCCGAUUACACCUCUUAAAAAUUUAGGGUAGGUAGGUUUGUACUUUUCCAGAAGUAAAGUACAAACUAAUAACACAUUUAUCAAUGUGUAAUUGUUUAUUCAAUCAAGCUUGCAGCCAUCAUAUCGACUUUCUAUAUCAGAGUGACAUAUCUGUUGGUGCCGGGACAAAAACAAUGGUAUCUGAAAGCUUAUAUUAUUCAUUCCGCUUAAAAAAAAUAGGGUCAGCACCAGAAUUCAAGGGUCGGUAUGGGGAUUCGGAACCACAACAUUUUUAUUUUUAGGCCUUAGCAAAAUAAUUUUAAACUGUUUUCUCCAAGAAAGAUUUCUUCCUGUGACAAACCUCACAUGCCUUCUAUUGAACACACUGGUCCUCAAUAGCCUGGUGAGUGAAUCAGAGGCUAAAGGCAUGGUGUUAUGGUUUGAAGCAGUUUGAAGCAGUGCCAUUUAAGACAAUUGUUGCUUUCGGAAUGUAUGUAUAUUUGGCAUUUCAUUGGUAAGAUUUUUCAGCAAAUGGACGAUAGUUGGUGGUAAGUUAAAACAUACCAAAAUGAUCAUCAGUAGUCUCCUAUCUUGUGUCCACAAAGGGGACAUUUGUCAUGAUUAAUAGUGAUUAGUGUUUAAGUAAGUGACACCCUCCCCCUGCAUAUCAUGUACAAAAUCAAUGACCCCCUCACCAGUACAUGUGUACAAAAAUGAUUCCAUCCCACCUCCCCGAAGAAAAUGGUUGACUGCCCCUUAAAAUCAUCAUCACCCCCCUAGCCAUAAAUUAUGAAUGGCCCCUUAACUGACUAGUCUAGCUUUACACUGCCAGGACCAUGAACUAACUGAGUGUGUUGCCAAGAAACUUUGUUGACACAAGAACACAUUUCAUCACAUUUUUAUGGAAUAUUUUUCAUUUUGCAUAUUUCAAAAAUCUACAGAAUACUUUGUAUAACAGGCAGUCAAUAUCCUAAGAAAUUUCUUCUAAACCUGCAGAGUUAUCUCCCUUUGUUUCCAGAUAGAAUCAGAGUAUACAUGGCAGUAAUUUGUUGACCAUGAUGAUAGUAUAAUUUUUCCCCUCUGUUAACAAUGUUUCAGCAAUGUCACAUAUGUUCAAGUAAAGAAAUCCAUUUGUAUCCAUGUAAGAAAUUGAACUUUGACCUUUAGCUUUUGUGGUGUAAAGUGUUUCUGUAAAUCAUCCAAUAUUUAAUGCUGAUGAAUUGAUACGGGUAUUACAGUUUUGGAUCUUAAGUCUUCAGUGUUUUUGCAACUGUUUUCAGUUGCAAAGCAAUUUGAUAAUGAAUGUCAUUUUUAGCUCAAAUCCAAUUUUCAAGUGUAUACUUCAUUUUGCACUGCAUUUUUUUUAUCAUAUGAUGGAGAUUUUGCUUUGUUGAAGAAUAUUUAGGCACAAUUUGACUUAAUAUCAUGCUGUAGUUCUCUUCCUUCUUUGUUCAUUAUAAGAACAUUCCACAAUUCUCAGACUAACCAUUACAUGCCCUCACUCAAACAAAUACUGGUUUUGCAGACCUACCUCAUGAGAGAGUACUCAACUUUUGUUAAGGAUAUCAGCCAAUACCAGUAUUUAAUCAAACAUAAGUGUUAACUGUUUGUCUAAUAUUCAGGUUAUGCUAUUGUAGCUUCAUGCUUAUUAUUGCUGGUUUGUAAGAAGAAAAUGGUUUGUGACAUUUUACACUCGUGUUUUGUCUUGCCGCUACCGUUAGGAGUGUCUAGGGAAUGCCUCAUGUAUCUCCACAUUCCAUUCUAUAAUUUGAAUAACAUUUCUUCUUUCUAGUCAAGUUUCAAGGUUAAAACAUUUCUCCCAAUAAACAAGGAUCUGUAGUGGAAAGAAGUGACAGAAUCUAAACAACAAAGGAAAAGAAAAACAUUUUCCUCAAUAGACAAGAAUCUUGAUAGGUUAAAAAUAGAUAAAAGGUUCAACCUGCAUUGUAUUAGCUGAAAGAAUAACCAGUAAAGUAAGUUGUCUUGAGUCCAUAUUUGAAAAUGUUUUACAUGAUGAGUGUCAUCAAAAUAUCCCUUGUAAAAGGAGAGUAAUAUGAUAUUAAAAAGAGAGUACUAUAUUGAAAAGAGAGUAAUAUGAUAUGAAAAGAGAGUAAUAAUAU